This is a long non-coding RNA of Strigops habroptila (Kakapo), 2661 nucleotides long. RefSeq lists it as uncharacterized. Lineage: Eukaryota; Metazoa; Chordata; Aves; Psittaciformes; Psittacidae. The record is from RefSeq and is a predicted model, not a curated record. The transcript has 3 exons.
CUGUGCUGCUCUCUACUCCGGGUGGGCUUAGGGAAGGAAUUGCAAAUGGUAUUUCCUUUCCAGUCUUUUCAGUGUAGUGAUCAUUAGUGGUUUUCACCUUCUAAUGCUCUAUAGGGAUUUUCUCACUGUCAGAUGACAGAUCUGGCUUUGCAGUAAAUUUAAAUGGGACGUGAGACAAGUGUAGAUGGACUGCUUGAAACCUGCUGUGCCAAAAAGGUGGGAGGAAUUAGAACAUUUCCAUUUAAAUUGCAAAGAACAGGAGUGUUAAAGAUAUUUCUGCAUUUAUAAUAUAUUAGAUCCACCCGGAAUACACCAGCAACUUGACCUUUUGUCUAGAAGUGAUGUUUAAACUAGAAUCCUAGUAGAUUCCACAGGGGAAAAAAAUCCAAGAACACCCACCUCACUCCCCCCUAAAAAACAACACCAAAAACCUCCAAACAAAACAGUCUUCCCUCCCAGCAAAGCCUAGAUAAAUACAACUCAAAGGCCAUAUGAUUAUGAAGUGGGAAAACUUGGUGAGGAUGAAACCUCAACCCCUGCUCAGUAGUCCAGCCCAAAUCUGGAAAGUGCUAAACUUCUUAAAGCAAGAUUGAUCUUUAUGAAAUGAGUUAAACACUCACAUGUGCAUGUCAAUGAUGCCUGCUGCUAUCUAUUUCCUCUACUAGUAGUCCUUCUGUACCUCCUUCUCUGCUGGCUUCUCUCUUGCCCGCAAGUAGAAAUAAGUCAGCAGAAUGAAUGCCAGAAGGGAUCUGCUUUGAAAAUAAGGCUUCUGAGUGGAUGAAUGGCUGUGGCAUAAUACAGAAAUGGAAUGGCAGACCACAUGGGUCGGGCUGGGUGAGGGCAAAUUUAAGAUCAGUCUUACAUUUUCUGUGUAGGUAAAAUACAUCUUGGUGAGGAACAUGACUGUCAUAUUUCUAUUCAAGAAGCUCCAUGCUCUUAAUACCCUAGUCCUAGCAAUCUAAAGCAUAGUUUAUAAAAAUAGGAAGUUAUUUAAUGGCUUAUCCUACUCUCCUCUCUCCCCCCAAAACAGGUGUAGAAACACAAGUCAACUUGAUUUUGUUGGACACAGUUGUCACUACACAGUAGUGCAGGUGAUUCUUCAUUGAGUCAAGAGAAGUGCUUUUCAGGAGAACUGGCACUAGGAAUCUUUACAGAAUGGUCAUGUAUAUACCCAUUUAAGUGGUAGCCCUCGCAGUAUGUCCAGCACACAAGUCCAGGUUUUUGUUUUCUGCAAUUUAACUGUUUGCUGGAAAUGAAAAUUUAGUUAGAUGCUUCCUCAUCCCAUUGAGAACAUGGAGAUAAGUAGUUUUCUUUGUGUGUUGAGACUCAAGUUGCUUACGAUCAAAACUUGGUAUUUAUACAACUGGGCUGAUGCAGCAUGGUAGCUGAAGUAAUGCUGGUGGGUCAGAUCACUCUUUCCUUUGCUUAUGCGGUGACUUGCGUGCUAGUGGCCAGCACUAACAGGAAACCACAGCUGCUCUUGUUCACUGCACUGGCAGCUGCCUAAAGAACUAAAACAUACCAAAUAGGGAACAGGAAAUGAGAUGGCUGAAUACAGAUGACUGUUGAAAAGUACUCUGACGAUCCCUACUUAAAAUUAUUUACAAAGAUUCAUUAUUUUAUCAGGUUCUAUGAAAGGCGUGAAACUGCUUAAGCUGCUUUUUCGUGUGGCUGCUGACAGCUGUUUUCAUUAAUAGGACAGUUUCAGAAAAUAGAAAAAGCUUAUUGAGCUUCUACCUGCUUAGUAGUAUGGAAAUGAUUCCAUGUUUGUUAGGCAGCAUCUACUGUGGGGAUAAAGCCAUUAAAUGGGUUUAAAUUUUCUUUAAAGCCUUUUCAUGUUAACCAACUGUCCAACAGGUCUGUUGCCAAUGAAAGCAAAUGAAGCAGAGCUGGGAAACAGCCUAACCUUUUGUUUAUGUUCACCCAAACUGCCUUAAUCAAGUCUCAGCUGCUUCCUCAGUUCAGCAAGGCUUUUUAAAACCAUCUUUAGUUCCAGACUAGAUUUAGUCUAACUUUCACUUAAAUAGGAAUUUUGAAAAACUUUGCUAUGUGCUACUUUGAAGUUUUCUAUCUGUAUGUAAAGACAGAUGAUUCUUAACUGUAUUUACUAGUUGAUUUGGAGGUGAACUAAUCUUAUUUCCUGUGUGGUGCUGCCUUGGCUGGUUAUUCUACACUACAAGAUUUAUGUUCUGGUUUUGACUGCUUUUCUUCUGCCUGUCAGGAUCUAUCCUGCUCAUUUGACUUAUGAGUUUAUGUUAAUGAGUUUCUUACUGCAUAAGGUGACAUUUAUUCAUGUUACCCUUGCUGCAGUUUUCCAAUUGCAGAGGUCUAAGGCUGAUGCUAAUCUUGGUGCCCAGUCAUCAGAUAGCCUCUGUUGUACACAUUGUCUUGUCUAAGCUAGUAUACAUAUACAUGCAAGAGUUGGACCAGGACAACCCCAUGUGCUGCCUUGGCUGUUGUGACGUUGUUUAUUCCCUUUUGUAAGUGGGGAAAGUAAGAAGUAGUGCUGUAAGAUAUCUUGACUUCAGCAGAGCUCUCUUCAUCCUGGGGUUGUACUGGUGGUUUUGCUUUUUUAAGUCAUGCAUGGAUGAAAGCUCUGAGGUCAUGUCUUUAGCCUAGGGAUCUUCAAGGAUAAGACAUGGAAAUGUACCCUAGGGACCA